GUGGAAUGCAUUCAAAUAAGAUUGCAAUUUGAAAUUCCAGCCUCCACUCGGUAGGAAUCCUUUGAGCGAAUUGGUUAAUCUAAAGCAGAUAGGAACGAUGGAAGAAUACCAAUAUCAGUUCCAAAGCCCUCAGAGCCCAUGCAACAACAGUGAUUUGUUUACCGCAAGCUUGACAAAUUCAAUAUGGAUUGAUUUAAAGAUGCAAAAUCUCCAAAGUUUGGUGGCAGCUACGAACCUGACAAGAACCUUUGAAAGAAAACAGCAACUGGGACGAGACUUAUGGCGAGAAAUUUGGACAAAUUCAUGGUCUAAUAC
This 315-nucleotide unclassified non-coding RNA is filed under the name Hevea brasiliensis (rubber tree). The record is from RNAcentral. Lineage: Eukaryota; Viridiplantae; Streptophyta; Magnoliopsida; Malpighiales; Euphorbiaceae.